Brachypodium distachyon (stiff brome) is the source of this 660-nucleotide long non-coding RNA. RefSeq lists it as uncharacterized. The transcript is spliced from 2 exons. NCBI's taxonomy places the organism in Eukaryota, Viridiplantae, Streptophyta, Magnoliopsida, Poales, Poaceae. The record is from RefSeq and is a predicted model, not a curated record.
GUACCUUUCUUCCCUCCUCCUCCCUCCCCCGGCGGCCUGGGCGGCAGCCGGCAGUGCUGGGCUGCUGGCUGGAGGAGGUGCACGGCGAGAAAGCUAAGAUGCGGCGGGGCGCCGUCCGUGGCCCGCUGGAAUGAGAACAGCGCACGCGCUUGAGCUUCAGAGAUGUUCACAGUUCAUUUCUUCCACCGCAAAGGUGAAGGCACAGCCAUAAACUCGUUGAGACAGCAAAAUUGAAGUCAGAAGCAUUCCUGAAGCAACGCAAUUGUAAGGUUCAGGCCUGGGUAGCAGAGAAUCUCUUUUUUUUCGAAAAGGAGGGACCGAAGAACGCCCGGGUUGCAGAGAACCUAAUUAGCCAAGGAAGCAAGAGGAGGAAGAUGAUGAUAAUGCAAGUGUGUAAGCAAGACGCAUUUGGAUCAACUGCGGGGUUCGACUAUCUGUAGGCUUGUAGGUAAACUGUGUCUUUCCUUUUUAUCGGGGCAUUUGUUGAAACGCCAAUCUUUGUUGUCUUCUCGAAGAAGGGGAAAAAAGAAAAUGUCGAAUGCAUUGCACUUAACUGAAGUUCUGGACACAUCCCGCUGUCUCUACCUGUUUCCACCCAUACUGUAACACUGAACCUAGCUCAUUUCUUGUCCAAAAAAAAGGUCACCCUGAAGAUGACUA